RNAcentral lists this unclassified non-coding RNA (1922 nucleotides) under Pomacea canaliculata. RNAcentral's name for it is "uncharacterized LOC112571362, transcript variant X1". The record is from RNAcentral. Lineage: Eukaryota; Metazoa; Mollusca; Gastropoda; Architaenioglossa; Ampullariidae.
CUGCCUUUGGCUCAGACGAUAACGCCAGUUGUGUUUGUCAAUUCGUGCCGGUCUUUCGGUGCUGACCAUCUGACUAUGACAAAGUAUCAAGUCGUUUUGGUGUACAUGUUAAUAGCCAUGACAAUGAGGAAAACGUGAAGGGUGGCUUAGCAUGACUUGUCACAUCAGGGAAGAGACCUAACUCCGAAAUAUUUUAAAGUUUUGCCGUAAGUUGGAGAGCUACUGUUGUCUUUCCGAUUCGUAGUGCUGAGUUAUUGCUGCCCUCACACCUAUGUUCUCGCAAUCGUAUAUACGUGCAUGAAAUGAGCUUCGCCAAAUCCCAGGAAUUAUUUACCUAUAUAACGGGCGACAACGGUCCUACUCUUUCAGCCACGAGAAAGACGUACAUUAUCAACAGCAGCAACAACAACAGCAUUAUCUCCACCAGCAAAUGUUGCAACAGCAGCGGACCACGAUGGCUGGUAGGAGAAGUAUGCCGAAGCGGGACAGAUCAUACUCCGAGUCGGACGUGAGGUGGCUGCAACACAGAGAAAUGGGUCGCGAGCUGCGGCGUAUGAGUGAUGAAUUCGUAUAUGAGCGUUCGCGGAGACCCUUGAUGACCGUAAGAGAGGAGGACGAAGAUUCAUCUGUAGGCAGUCAUUAUUCAUCAUCAUAUCCUGAGACUGUUGGCACUCACCACUGGUUUUAGUGACUGUGAUUUCUUAAGUCCAGUGCAUUUCACUCUUCAGUUCCCCGCCUGAAAUUUAAAGAAAAGCAUUGGGCCAGAGGCAAUUUUACAGUUAGCGAACUUUUCUUUUUAACUUUAUUUUUUUGCCAAAUUGUUUUAUUUACUUAAUUUUAAAUUCACAAGCUUAUGACCAAAUCAUCUGAUAGCAAAUAAGUAAACAAAAAAGAAUAUUUUUAGAACUUCCGCAGCAAGAGAUACUAAAUAGUUUCUGAGACGUUGUGGCGGUAAUCAAAAAAAGAAAAGAACCACUAUGACUUAAAGUCUUCUUUAUUCUUCUUUGCUAUACAGUUCUCUUUUGGCCUGUAAAUACCCUAUGUUUAUAAAUAUUGUAAAGACACCAUGAUGGAGAGACUUCAGAUUCAAUGUUCCUUCGCACGUCUGACCAUCACUUGCUUUUCUUACAUAUAAACUACACAUAUAUGCUGUUAUAUGCUAAAAGUGAUGUUUCAGAAUUACUAAACGUAUUUUUAAGACAACAGCAGAUACGUAUAAUUUGACUUUGACUUUUGCAUUCCAAAAAUUUAAUAUUUUAAAAAUACUAAAUAUUUAAUAAAACACUACACGAAAGUAAUGAUGAUGAUGCAUAAUAUUAAUAGGCCUUUACAAUAUUGACAAUGUUAAUUUAAAUCGGUUAUUUAUGAUGUCUUUGAUCCUCUUUUUGCUUUUUUACUUUUCCUAUUUUGCUCGUCAAUAGUUUGAUAUCUUUAUAUAUACAUGCUUAUACUGUACAUCGAUAUCAAGCUUCUGAUUCACUGUCUUAAAACAUGACUUCUUCUAGCUCAUUUAGUCAUUGUACAAAGACAAAUCAAUUAAUUGAGCAUACGAUGUCUUGAAGGCGUAAUAUAAAUGGUCAUUUUAUUUGUUAGUUUUCAAUUAUCAACUUCGCGCAUCCAAUGCAGUUCUGUUUGCGCAUAUUCACGCAGCGUAGAGUUUUUGUUUUUAUAGUGGCCUUAUUACCCAGAUCAUGUAAAAAAAAAAAGUCUGUCUCCUAUACCUCCCAAAAUAUUUUCCUUACGGGUAAUCUGGAAGAAAGCUCAAUGAAUUUUCUUUAAUUGAGUAAAUGGGUAAUUCUUAACUGUACGUCCAAAUUGUGCCAAAUACAGAUCACUAUUUUAAAAUGCUUAUGUUGACUUAUCAUGUUAGUAAUUUGCUACAUCAAAUGAAACUGGCAAUAAACUAUUUGCACCUGAAUCAA